This 489-nucleotide ribosomal RNA is filed under the name uncultured bacterium. Its description in RNAcentral is "bacterial SSU rRNA". It matches the Rfam family "Bacterial small subunit ribosomal RNA", at positions 28 to 507 of the family's 1533-position model. The record is from RNAcentral.
GACGAACGCUGGCGGCGUGGAUUAGGCAUGCAAGUCGAACGGUAUCAUCCUUUCGGGGGUGAGAGAGUGGCGAACUGGUGAGUAACACGUAGGUUAUCUACCCUCAAGACGGGGACAACCCAGGGAAACUUGGGCUAAUACCGGAUAGUGAGCAACUUUUUAGUUGUUUGAAAGGUGGCGUAAGCUGUCGCUUGGGGAUGAGCCUGCGUCCUAUUAGUUAGUUGGUGAGGUAACGGCUUACCAAGGCGAUGAUAGGUAGGCGGCCUUAACGGGUGGUCGCCCACACUGGGAUUGAGAUACGGCCCAGACUCCUACGGGAGGCAGCAGUCGAGAAUAGUCUACAAUGGACGGAAGUCUGAUAGUGCGACGCCGCGUGAACGAAGAAUCCCUUCGGGGUGUAAAGUUCUUUUAUACGUGAGCAGUGUCCUUUAUAUUAAUAGUAUAAGGGGAGAGAUAUUAGCGUAUGAAUAAGCAACGGCUAACUCCGUG